AACGGGCCCGUCACCGCCGUCGCCGUCUGUGCGGUCGACAAGCAGCGAGCCAAGGCCGACGCCGCUGCGCCGCACGACGAAAACAACCCUGACGUCGUGCCCCACAUCUGUGAAAACGACUACAGGUGGAUCGAGAGAGACAAGAUCAUGGAGAAAGAAAGUCUUUCACGAGCUUUGUACACGAAUGAAACGACAGACUGCCACACACAAAGCAAUGAAUCAUUUGAAAAGAGGAGUAACGUAAUUUCAGGAAAACAGGUACCAAUAAUUUCCGUAAGCUGCAGUGAAGACAACUCUUCGAACCCGCCACGGGUUUCUGUGACCAGAUUUUGAAGAAAUGUGAUUUGGGAAGCAGCUGGGAAACAACUUCCAGUGCAGCGUUUGAAGAAUUUCUUUUUCGACAUGGAAUUCUUCUUGUUAGCAGCAGAGAAAACUUGGACGAUUAAAUUUCUCCUUCUAAACCAGUGACUGUGAUCGAAAGCGUUAUUUCUCAGUGCACGUAGCUAUGAUGUGCACUACUGAAAAAGUGUGUUCUGUGAAAACAGUAAUUUGAAUAAGAACUAUGAUACAUAUUGUUCUGCUGCGUAAAAUCUCAGGUAAAAGCCUAAAUUUCAAAAAGUUUU
Schistocerca piceifrons (Central American locust) is the source of this 623-nucleotide long non-coding RNA. RefSeq lists it as uncharacterized. The record is from RefSeq and is a predicted model, not a curated record. The transcript is spliced from 3 exons. NCBI's taxonomy places the organism in Eukaryota, Metazoa, Arthropoda, Insecta, Orthoptera, Acrididae.